UACGGAGGGUGCAAGCGUUAUCCGGAUUUACUGGGUUUAAAGGGUGCGUAGGUGGGUUGGUAAGUCAGUGGUGAAAUCUUCGAGCUUAACUCGGAAACUGCCAUUGAUACUAUCAAUCUUGAAUUAUCUGGAGGUAAGCGGAAUAUGUCAUGUAGCGGUGAAAUGCUUAGAUAUGACAUAGAACACCCAUUGCGAAGGCAGCUUACUACGGAUAUAUUGACACUGAGGCACGAAAGCGUGGGGAUCAAACAGGA
Molecule: ribosomal RNA, 254 nt
Filed under: uncultured bacterium
Lineage: Bacteria
Description: partial 16S ribosomal RNA
Rfam family: Bacterial small subunit ribosomal RNA
Source: RNAcentral